GGUAGAGUGGCUGAAUAUCACAAGCAUUAGACUGUAAAUCUAAACAUAAAGGUAUAAUCCUUUCUCUGCCA
Molecule: transfer RNA, 71 nt
Filed under: Pattonomys semivillosus (Speckled spiny tree-rat)
Lineage: Eukaryota; Metazoa; Chordata; Mammalia; Rodentia; Echimyidae
Description: tRNA-Tyr
Rfam family: tRNA
About the family: Transfer RNA (tRNA) molecules are approximately 80 nucleotides in length. Their secondary structure includes four short double-helical elements and three loops (D, anti-codon, and T loops).
Source: RNAcentral